CAGUAGCCGCGGUAAUACGUAGGUCCCGAGCGUUGUCCGGAUUUAUUGGGCGUAAAGCGAGCGCAGGCGGUUUGAUAAGUCUGAAGUAAAAGGCUGUGGCUUAACCAUAGUAUGCUUUGGAAACUGUCAAACUUGAGUGCAGAAGGGGAGAGUGGAAUUCCAUGUGUAGCGGUGAAAUGCGUAGAUAUAUGGAGGAACACCGGUGGCGAAAGCGGCUCUCUGGUCUGUAACUGACGCUGAGGCUCGAAAGCGUGGGGAGCAAACAGGAUUAGAUACCCCGGUAGUCCCUGUCUCUUAUACA
This 301-nucleotide ribosomal RNA is filed under the name uncultured bacterium. RNAcentral describes it as "partial 16S ribosomal RNA". It matches the Rfam family "Bacterial small subunit ribosomal RNA", at positions 509 to 808 of the family's 1533-position model. The record is from RNAcentral.